RNAcentral lists this ribosomal RNA (253 nucleotides) under uncultured bacterium. RNAcentral's name for it is "partial 16S ribosomal RNA". It matches the Rfam family "Bacterial small subunit ribosomal RNA", at positions 524 to 776 of the family's 1533-position model. The record is from RNAcentral.
UACGAAGGGUGCAAGCGUUACUCGGAAUUACUGGGCGUAAAGCGUGCGUAGGUGGUUUGUUAAGUCUGUUGUGAAAGCCCCGGGCUCAACCUGGGAAUGGCAAUGGAUACUGGCAAGCUAGAGUGCGGUAGAGGGUAGUGGAAUUCCCGGUGUAGCGGUGAAAUGCGUAGAGAUCGGGAGGAGCACCAGUGGCGAAGGCGGGUCUCUGGGCCGAUACUGACGCUGAGGAGCGAAAGCGUGGGGAGCGAACAGG